This 259-nucleotide long non-coding RNA is filed under the name Equus caballus (horse). RNAcentral's name for it is "lncRNA (ENSECAG00000040509.3)". The record is from RNAcentral. Lineage: Eukaryota; Metazoa; Chordata; Mammalia; Perissodactyla; Equidae.
CCUGGGCAGUGGUUGCAUCGUCUAACCUGGGAGGUCCUUGAGGAAUGCCUCUCAGUGCCUCAGGCCCCUCUCCCUGUCCUGGCAGGGGUGACCCGUGAGAAGCCCAGUGGGCUUACAGUGCAAGAGAGAAAAGAUGCAAAAUAUCGAGUUACUUCUUUAACGUGUGCCAAACAGAAAAACGCAGCCUGGUGCAGCAAAAAUCCAGGUCCUCUCAGACGCCCAGCGGCAGGUCGACCUUCCCGGGGCUCAGAUUCAACGG